This is a long non-coding RNA of Prunus avium (sweet cherry), 505 nucleotides long. RefSeq lists it as uncharacterized. The record is from RefSeq and is a predicted model, not a curated record. NCBI's taxonomy places the organism in Eukaryota, Viridiplantae, Streptophyta, Magnoliopsida, Rosales, Rosaceae.
UAAUGCCCCUAAAUAUUUUACAAAAUGACAACGUUUGACCCUCUCACAUAAUAGAUCUCGCGACCUUCACUCUCUCUCAGACCUUCACUCUCACAGACUGCUCUUCUCACUUUUCUUCUUCUUCCUCCUCCUGCAUCUCAAUUCCAGUCGCAAUCAAGGACAAUCCAUUGCUAACAACAAUCAGCUACUCAUCAUCUUAGCAGGUUGUGGUAGACAUUUUGAUGCUUCAAAUGAUAUCUUAGGUGAAGAGAUAGGUGAGGAUGUUGAUGUACAACAAGAACUUCAUAGUCUUCAUGACAAUGGAACACAAGAGAUGGAAGCAUUGAGAAAUAGCAUCUCUACAAGUUUAAUGAAUGCAUCUAAUUAGCUUCUUUUAUAUUGUAGUGAUCUAUUUGGGCAUGUUAAAAUUGAAUUUUUUUUGUAUAUUUGUUAUGUUAACCCUCUCUGAAGCCCUCAAAACACAUUGUUAUUAUUAAUAUAACAAUAUUUAGAACUACUUUUGUUA